This 68-nucleotide transfer RNA is filed under the name Marmota monax (woodchuck). RNAcentral describes it as "tRNA.Ala". Lineage: Eukaryota; Metazoa; Chordata; Mammalia; Rodentia; Sciuridae. The record is from RNAcentral.
GGAUUGUGGCUCAGUGGUAGAGCGCUUGCCUAGCACAUGUGAGGCCCUGGGUUCAAUCCUCAGCACCA